AACUGCCCCUGAUCUAGCGGUAUGAUAUCUAGCUUGUAGCUAGAAGACCCGGGUUUAAACCCCGGGCGGGUCA
RNAcentral lists this transfer RNA (73 nucleotides) under Verticillium dahliae VdLs.17. RNAcentral's name for it is "tRNA-Thr (TGT) (tRNA-Thr-TGT-2-1)". It matches the Rfam family "tRNA". From Rfam's summary of the family: Transfer RNA (tRNA) molecules are approximately 80 nucleotides in length. Their secondary structure includes four short double-helical elements and three loops (D, anti-codon, and T loops). Further hydrogen bonds mediate the characteristic L-shaped molecular structure. tRNAs have two regions of fundamental functional importance: the anti-codon, which is responsible for specific mRNA codon recognition, and the 3' end, to which the tRNAs corresponding amino acid is attached (by aminoacyl-tRNA synthetases). tRNAs cope with the degeneracy of the genetic code in two manners: having more than one tRNA (with a specific anti-codon) for a particular amino acid; and 'wobble' base-pairing, i.e. permitting non-standard base-pairing at the 3rd anti-codon position. The record is from RNAcentral. RNAcentral also lists the same sequence under 1 other name. Lineage: Eukaryota; Fungi; Ascomycota; Sordariomycetes; Glomerellales; Plectosphaerellaceae.